RNAcentral lists this ribosomal RNA (562 nucleotides) under Roseicyclus sp. RNAcentral describes it as "bacterial SSU rRNA". It matches the Rfam family "Bacterial small subunit ribosomal RNA", at positions 26 to 624 of the family's 1533-position model. Lineage: Bacteria; Pseudomonadati; Pseudomonadota; Alphaproteobacteria; Rhodobacterales; Roseobacteraceae. The record is from RNAcentral.
AGGAUGAACGCUAGCGGCAGGCCUAACACAUGCAAGUCGAACGGUAACAUAGAGAAGCUUGCUUCUUUGAUGACGAGUGGCGCACGGGUGCGUAACGCGUAUACAAUCUACCUUUUACAGGGGGAUAGCCUUUAGAAAUGAAGAUUAAUACCCCAUAGUAUAUAUUAAUGGCAUCGUUAAUAUAUUAAAGUUUCGGCGGUAAAAGAUGAGUAUGCGUUCUAUUAGCUAGAUGGUGUGGUAACGGCACACCAUGGCAACGAUAGAUAGGGGCCCUGAGAGGGGGAUCCCCCACACUGGUACUGAGACACGGACCAGACNNNNNNNNNNGCCAUGCCGCGUGCAGGAUGACGGCCCUAUGGGUUGUAAACUGCUUUUAUACGGGAAGAAACCGCCCACGUGUGGGCGUUUGACGGUACUGUAAGAAUAAGGAUCGGCUAACUCCGUGCCAGCAGCCGCGGUAAUACGGAGGAUCCAAGCGUUAUCCGGAAUCAUUGGGUUUAAAGGGUCCGUAGGUGGAUAAUUAAGUCAGAGGUGAAAGUCUGCAGCUCAACUGUAGAAUUGC